This 311-nucleotide unclassified non-coding RNA is filed under the name Hevea brasiliensis (rubber tree). Lineage: Eukaryota; Viridiplantae; Streptophyta; Magnoliopsida; Malpighiales; Euphorbiaceae. The record is from RNAcentral.
GUUAUCCAGUUCUUGGUGUGGGUUUCACUGGUUCUCUAGCUAGCACGCGGGCCAAACUUGGUGAUCACAGAUUUCACUUGUCAACAAGAACAUCUGACCGACUUUGGGUAUUCUAAAGUUACUUUGUCAAAGGGUCUGCGAACUCGAGAGCAAGAAGAUACCAUUUCAAGUCAUCUCUUACUCGAGGCCAUUGCAAAUGCUUGCAAAGUCCAGGCAACAUUUGUUUCUAAUUUGACUGAAUCUGAUGUGUCUGAUGAAUUUGAAAAAAAAUUUACUGAAGAUCAAGAAUUGGAACAACUUCUAAAUGGGCA